Molecule: ribosomal RNA, 253 nt
Filed under: uncultured bacterium
Lineage: Bacteria
Description: partial 16S ribosomal RNA
Rfam family: Bacterial small subunit ribosomal RNA
Source: RNAcentral
GACAGAGGGGGCAAGCGUUGCUCGGAAUCACUGGGCGUAAAGGGCGCGUAGGCGGGAUGGCAAGUCAGUCGUGAAAUCUCUCGGCUCAACCGAGAAACGUCGGCUGAUACUGCCGUUCUUGAGGGAUGCAGAGGAGACUGGAAUUCCCGGUGUAGCGGUGAAAUGUGUAGAGAUCGGGAGGAACACCGGUGGCGAAGGCGGGUCUCUGGGCAUCUCCUGACGCUGAGGCACGAAAGCCAGGGGAGCGAACGGG